RNAcentral lists this long non-coding RNA (460 nucleotides) under Ananas comosus (pineapple). RNAcentral describes it as "long non-coding RNA (ACOM_LNC015179)". The record is from RNAcentral. Lineage: Eukaryota; Viridiplantae; Streptophyta; Magnoliopsida; Poales; Bromeliaceae.
GAAUGGGGCUUUUGUAUGAAUUUGUAUCGUUUAAGAUUAUAUUAGGAUUAGGAUAGGUGGAUGCAUUAAUUAAACGCUAUAUGUAAAGGGAAGAUGAAGGGUUGUAUUUUUUGUGUAGGUUUCUAAGUUUACGGAACUCAUCUUCUUUCUUUUUUGAUUACCUUCCGACGUUACAAAAAAGAAAUUAUGAGAUGGAAAGCCGAAGAGACAUACGAUAUGGAAAAGAAAUUAAUAAGACAGAAAUUAAUAAGACGGGAAGCCGAAGAGGUAGACGUUAUAGGGAAGGAAUUAAUGAAACGGAAAGCCGAAGAGACAGACGUUCAUAAGGUGAAAGCAAACAGUGAACGAAACUAUAGGGAAGGAAUUAAUAAAACGGAAAGCCGAAGAGACAGACGUUCAUAAGGUGAAAGCAAACAGUGAACGAAACACUGCCACGUGGCAUUUUUUAUGGGGAUUAAUG